AAAAACAUCUGGCAAUGCUGAUCUCCUGAAACAUGCAGCUUUUCUGAUUACCUACUUUUUCUUAAGAAAAGUACAACCUUGUGAAAUGUGAUCUAUGCAACUUGAGACGGCCAGCUCCACCCAGUUCGGAGAAUCAACAAAUCCACAUAUUGUUUUGAAGCAAGAAAACCGAUCAUUCCACUGGCAAACAGAAGAAACCUCCUCAACUUGUUAUAAAAAUUAAAUGUG
This is a non-coding RNA of Pelobates cultripes (western spadefoot toad), 228 nucleotides long. NCBI's taxonomy places the organism in Eukaryota, Metazoa, Chordata, Amphibia, Anura, Pelobatidae. The record is from the annotation of a GenBank genome assembly.